RNAcentral lists this small RNA (104 nucleotides) under Klebsiella pneumoniae. Its description in RNAcentral is "partial RtT sRNA". It matches the Rfam family "RtT RNA", at positions 1 to 102 of the family's 130-position model. From Rfam's summary of the family: This family represents a bacterial cis-regulatory element known as RtT RNA. The exact function of RtT is unknown although it is thought that it may be involved in changing the cellular response in relation to amino acid starvation. Lineage: Bacteria; Pseudomonadati; Pseudomonadota; Gammaproteobacteria; Enterobacterales; Enterobacteriaceae. The record is from RNAcentral.
UGUUUGCACUUAGCGGGAAGGGUAAGAACCUUCGACUAAGGUUCGACUCGAGCGCCAGCGAGAGAACGUUGCCGCAGGCAACGGCCCGAAGGGCGAGGAGAGAU